RNAcentral lists this ribosomal RNA (561 nucleotides) under Fusarium fujikuroi. RNAcentral describes it as "eukaryotic LSU rRNA". The stretch from base 181 to 334 matches the Rfam family "5.8S ribosomal RNA". Lineage: Eukaryota; Fungi; Ascomycota; Sordariomycetes; Hypocreales; Nectriaceae. The record is from RNAcentral.
CUCCGUAGGGUGAACCUGCGGAGGGAUCAUUACCGAGUUUACAACUCCCAAACCCCUGUGAACAUACCAAUUGUUGCCUCGGCGGAUCAGCCCGCUCCCGGUAAAACGGGACGGCCCGCCAGAGGACCCCUAAACUCUGUUUCUAUAUGUAACUUCUGAGUAAAACCAUAAAUAAAUCAAAACUUUCAACAACGGAUCUCUUGGUUCUGGCAUCGAUGAAGAACGCAGCAAAAUGCGAUAAGUAAUGUGAAUUGCAGAAUUCAGUGAAUCAUCGAAUCUUUGAACGCACAUUGCGCCCGCCAGUAUUCUGGCGGGCAUGCCUGUUCGAGCGUCAUUUCAACCCUCAAGCCCCCGGGUUUGGUGUUGGGGAUCGGCGAGCCCUUGCGGCAAGCCGGCCCCGAAAUCUAGUGGCGGUCUCGCUGCAGCUUCCAUUGCGUAGUAGUAAAACCCUCGCAACUGGUACGCGGCGCGGCCAAGCCGUUAAACCCCCAACUUCUGAAUGUUGACCUCGGAUCAGGUAGGAAUACCCGCUGAACUUAAGCAUAUCAAUAAGCGGAGGAA